GUGGUAAUUCUAGAGCUAAUACAUGCUAAAAACCUCGACUUCGGGAGGGGUGUAUUUAUUAGAUUAAAAACCAAUGCCCUUCGGGGCUCUUUGGUGAUUCAUAAUAACUAAACGAAUCGCAUGGCCUUGCGCCGGCGAUGGUUCAUUCAAAUUUCUGCCCUAUCAACUUUCGAUUGUAGAGUAGUGGUCUACAAUGGUUUCAACGGGUAACGGGGAAUUAGGGUUCUAUUCCGGAGAGGGAGCCUGAGAAACGGCUACCACAUCCAAGGAAGGCAGCAGGCGCGCAAAUUACCCAAUCCCGACACGGGGAGGUAGUGACAAUAAAUACUGAUACAGGGUUCUUUUGGAUCUUGUAAUUGGAAUGAGUACAAUGUAAAUACCUUAACGAGGAACAAUUGGAGGGCAAGUCUGGUGCCAGCAGCCGCGGUAAUUCCAGCUCCAAUAGCGUAUAUUAAAGUUGUUGCAGUUAAAAAGCUCGUAGUUGAACCUUGGAUCUGGCUGAUCUGUCCUCCUAAUCGAGCGCACGGAUUCGGCUGGAUCUUUCCUUCUGGGGAACCCUAUGCCCUUUACUGGGCGUAGUGGGGAACCAGGACUUUUACUUUGAAAAAAUUAGAGUGUUCAAAGCAGGCCUUUGCUCGAAUACAUUAGCAUGGAAUAAUAGAAUAGGACGUUGGUUCUAUUUUGUUGGUUUCUAG
Molecule: ribosomal RNA, 695 nt
Filed under: Chaetothyriales sp. A862
Lineage: Eukaryota; Fungi; Ascomycota; Eurotiomycetes; Chaetothyriales
Also listed under: 1 other name
Description: SSU rRNA
Rfam family: Eukaryotic small subunit ribosomal RNA
Source: RNAcentral